This 497-nucleotide ribosomal RNA is filed under the name uncultured bacterium. Its description in RNAcentral is "partial 16S ribosomal RNA". It matches the Rfam family "Bacterial small subunit ribosomal RNA", at positions 28 to 507 of the family's 1533-position model. The record is from RNAcentral.
GAUGAACGCUGGCGGCGUGCCUAAUACAUGCAAGUCGAGCGAACGGACGAGAAGCUUGCUUCUCUGAUGUUAGCGGCGGACGGGUGAGUAACACGUGGAUAACCUACCUAUAAGAAUGGGAUAACUUCGGGAAACCGGAGCUAAUACCGGAUGAUAUUUUGAACCGCAUGGUUCAAAAGUGAAAGACGGUCUUGCUGUCACUUAUAGAUGGAUCCGCGCUGCAUUAGCUAGUUGGUAAGGUAACGGCUUACCAAGGCAACGAUGCAUAGCCGACCUGAGAGGGUGAUCGGCCACACUGGAACUGAGACACGGUCCAGACUCCUACGGGAGGCAGCAGUAGGGAAUCUUCCGCAAUGGGCGAAAGCCUGACGGAGCAACGCCUCGUGAGUGAUGCAGGUCUUCUGAUCGUAAAACUCUGUUAGUAGGGAGGAACAUAUGUGUAAGUAACUGUGCACAUCUUGACGGUACCUAAUCAGAAAGCCACGGCUAACUACGUG